GGGCGUAGCUCAGUUGGUAGAGCAACGGACUUUUAAUCCGUAGGCCGUAGGUUCGAAUCCUACUGUCCGCA
Molecule: transfer RNA, 71 nt
Filed under: Planctomycetaceae bacterium
Lineage: Bacteria; Pseudomonadati; Planctomycetota; Planctomycetia; Planctomycetales; Planctomycetaceae
Description: tRNA-Lys
Rfam family: tRNA
About the family: Transfer RNA (tRNA) molecules are approximately 80 nucleotides in length. Their secondary structure includes four short double-helical elements and three loops (D, anti-codon, and T loops).
Source: RNAcentral